UGUAUCAAUGAGCUUGUGUGUGUCAUUGAGAUGUCAGUGAAAUUGCCUGAGUCUGCAUGUGAGUAUGCUUACUGUAUAAUUAAACGUUUUACCCUGAAAGGACCAAUAUUUUAUAUUAGAAAAAGAUAUAUAUUACUCAAUCAUCUGUCCUGGCAAGACAUAGCCUUAUAUAUUACACGUGACAAUAUACGGCGCAGUGACUUAUGGGGCUGGCACAAAUUUUUUUUCCAGGGCUGCUCUGUAUCCCCAGUCCGGCCCUGACCAUGGUGACCACGGGUAAUGGGGAAUCAGGGUUCGCUUACGAAGAGGGAGCCUGAGAAACGGCUACUACAUCCAAGGAAGGCAGCAGGCGCGCAAUUUACCCACUCCCGACGCGGGGAGGUAGUGAUGAAAAAUAACAAUACAGGACUCUUUCGAGGCCCUGUAAUUGGAAUGAGUACACUUUAAAUCCUCUAACAAGGAUCUAUUGGAGGGCAAGUCUGGUGCCAGCAGCCGCGGUAAUUCCAGCUCCAAU
Molecule: non-coding RNA, 514 nt
Organism: Pelobates cultripes (western spadefoot toad)
Lineage: Eukaryota; Metazoa; Chordata; Amphibia; Anura; Pelobatidae
Source: the annotation of a GenBank genome assembly